GAUGAACGCUGGCGGCGUGCUUAACACAUGCAAGUCGAACGAGAAAUGGAGACGGAAACCUUCGGGCGGAAGGCUUCAUUUCGAGUGGCGGACGGGUGAGUAACGCGUGGGUAACCUGCCUCAUACAGGGGGAUAACAGUUGGAAACGACUGUUAAUACCGCAUAAGACCACAGCACCGCAUGGUGCGGGGGUAAAAACUCCGGUUGUAUGAGAUGGACCCGCGUUCGAUUAGCCAGCUGGCGGGGUAACGGCUCACCAAAGCGACGAUCGAUAGCCGAUCUGAGAGGAUGACCGGCCACCUUGGGACUGAGACACGGCCCAAACUCCUACGGGAGGCAGCAGUGGGGAAUAUUGCACAAUGGGGGAAACCCUGAUGCAGCGACGCCGCGUGAGUGAAGAAGUACUUCGGUAUGUAAAGCUCUAUCAGCAGGGAAGAAAAUGACGGUACCUGAGUAAGAAGCCCCGGCUAACUACGUG
This 478-nucleotide ribosomal RNA is filed under the name uncultured bacterium. Its description in RNAcentral is "partial 16S ribosomal RNA". It matches the Rfam family "Bacterial small subunit ribosomal RNA", at positions 28 to 507 of the family's 1533-position model. The record is from RNAcentral.